GUGUUUGCUUUGGCAGCACAUAUACUAAAAAAAUUGGAAUGAUAUAGAAAGGAUUAGCAUGGCCUCUGUGCAAGGAUGACAUGCAAAUUCAUGAAGUUUUCCACAUUUUA
This 110-nucleotide small nuclear RNA is filed under the name Choloepus hoffmanni (Hoffmann's two-fingered sloth). Lineage: Eukaryota; Metazoa; Chordata; Mammalia; Pilosa; Megalonychidae. The record is from RNAcentral.